RNAcentral lists this ribosomal RNA (463 nucleotides) under uncultured bacterium. RNAcentral describes it as "bacterial SSU rRNA". It matches the Rfam family "Bacterial small subunit ribosomal RNA", at positions 64 to 507 of the family's 1533-position model. The record is from RNAcentral.
GCACGAGAAAGGGAGCAAUCCCCGGUACAGUGGCGCACGGGUGAGUAACACGUGGGUAAUCUUCCCUCGAGCGGGGGAUAACCUUCCGAAAGGAGGGCUAAUACCGCAUAAGACCACGGCCGAUACGUCGGCUGAGGUAAAAGCUGGCCUCUACACGUAAGCUAGCACUUGAGGAUGAGCCCGCGGCCCAUCAGCUAGUUGGUGGUGUAAAAGACCACCAAGGCGAAGACGGGUAGCUGGUCUGAGAGGAUGAUCAGCCACACUGGAACUGAGACACGGUCCAGACUCCUACGGGAGGCAGCAGUGGGGAAUCUUGCGCAAUGGGCGAAAGCCUGACGCAGCGACGCCGCGUGGGUGAUGAAGGCCUUCGGGUUGUAAAGCCCUGUGGGGAGGGACGAAUAAGUAGUGGCCAAUAUCCACGAUGAUGACGGUACCUCCUUAGCAAGCACCGGCUAACUAUGUG